This 253-nucleotide ribosomal RNA is filed under the name uncultured bacterium. RNAcentral's name for it is "partial 16S ribosomal RNA". It matches the Rfam family "Bacterial small subunit ribosomal RNA", at positions 524 to 776 of the family's 1533-position model. The record is from RNAcentral.
UACAGAGGGGGCAAGCGUUGUUCGGAAUUACUGGGCGUAAAGGGCGCGUAGGCGGCCUGUUAAGUCGAACGUGAAAUCCCCGGGCUCAACCCGGGAACUGCGUCCGAUACUGGCAGGCUUGAAUCCGGGAGAGGGAUGUGGAAUUCCAGGUGUAGCGGUGAAAUGCGUAGAUAUCUGGAGGAACACCGGUGGCGAAGGCGGCAUCCUGGACCGGUAUUGACGCUGAGACGCGAAAGCGUGGGGAGCAAACAGG